AUGCUGGUGGCCUUCUGGGCUAUAUGGUUAGUUCGGAGGAAGGUCAUCCAUGAGGGCGUCCUACAGAGUCCCCAUGCAACACAUGCUUUCAUAACCAACUUCAUAGCUGAGUUAGCAAGCAUACAGGUUCCGGUGAAAGGAACGAACCAGGUAUCAUCAAACACCAACAGGAGCAGAUCGCAGGGGUGGAUAGCGCCAGCCCAUGGGGUGGCCAAGAUUCAGGUUGACGGGGGCCUUUCACGGAAUGGCAGAGCAGGUGCAGCGGCAACGGUUUGCCGAGAUCAUACAUGUCAGUUCCUUGGCUCGUCGGCAAUGGUUUUUAGCGAUAUUACUGAUCCACCAACUCUCGAAGCGCUUUCAUGCCGGGAAGCUCUAGCCCUUGCACUUGAUCUAUCUUUGGAUCAAGUUAUCAUCGCUUGUGACUGUCAAACAGUUGUCAAAGAAAUCAAGACUUAAACGGAGGGGAAAUACAGUGCUAUUAUCAAGGAGAUUACAGCCCAAGCUCGAGACUUCUAUAGAUGCGAGUUUAUCUUUGAAGGGCGCGAGAGGAAUGUUGAUGCUCAAAAUUUAGCAAAAUUUGCUUCUAGUUUAGAUGUUGGUCGCCACCUGUGGCUGGGUCUUCCCCAUGACCCUUUUGUUAUUCCUGUAAACCGCACUCCUAGUCUAUAA
This 669-nucleotide ribosomal RNA is filed under the name Triticum aestivum (bread wheat). RNAcentral describes it as "partial small subunit ribosomal RNA". The record is from RNAcentral. Lineage: Eukaryota; Viridiplantae; Streptophyta; Magnoliopsida; Poales; Poaceae.